GACAGGAAGUGGUCAAAAAUUCAGACUCCAUCUGGGCUGAGAUGAGCAGAACUCAUACUUCCUCAGGGUCACCCCCACCCCCCACUGCUCCAUUUCACCCUCUUAACAUUACCGGCUCCAUUUUUAUUUUCCAUUCACAGAUAUUAGGUAGAUAGAACAUACCAAAUUUAUUAACAAUAAACAUUCUUUAAGGAACUUCAUUUCGAUACAGCAACUCUCUUAAAUUCUCUUUCAACUAAAAAGUACAUAAAUCUGAACAUGAAUGAAUGACCACAAUAGCCAUCUAGUCUAUAACUAUUGACCUGGAGUCAGAUAACCUGGAUUUGAGUUCUGGGUGGGGAAGCCAGGGAAGGAGGGUUCACAUGUGUUGACUGUGCUUGGCUCCAUCCUAGGUGUUUGUACAUCUCAUCUCAGUUCCUCCUCAUGUCUCCAUAGGGCAGAUAUUACAUGUUGCCUCCAAUUGGGUAGAGCGAGGCCGAGUGCUUUGAUGUGACUCACUCCUAAGUGACAGUGCUAGCAUGGGCACUUGAAUGUGCAGGUCCACCACCCCUGGUCCAUUACAACAUACAUUCUCCGGAUCCAACACUUAACUGAACUCUUUGCAUGUUAGUCCCUUCCUAUGUGGAAGGGGGUAAGCAUGCUGUGGUACCUACCUCCUGAGGGGUUCUGGGAAUCACAUGGAAUGUAAAGUAACUGUGAAAGCCAUUUGCAGCUCUGCAAACACAGAGAUGAUUAGAACGAACACUCGGUUUUAUUAGCCAUCGAACCCAGACCCAUAUUCCCCCCUCUUCCUUCUCCCUCUCUUCUUUCCGUUUAUUCUUCUAACCCCCUUCACCUCCUCCCUCCACAGUGAGAAAUCCUUCUUUCUGUCCCUUUAAAGUUGCCUGAUGGCAAGACUGAGCUUAGACCCUAGAAUGUACCCUCUUUCUCUCUGCCUAGCUAGUCUUUUAACUCACUGCAGUAGGGCUUUCCCCCCCUGCCCCACACUCUGCUGAAACCACCAAGUUCUUCACAAGCACAUUUGGCACCUUUGCCCCAUCCCUUCCUCUGAGGGGAUGAUGCCAUGCAGGCUGGUGUCCUUUUUCAGUCAACAACUUGUGCAACUGGCUUUGACCAAUGAACGCAGCUUUGGCAAGGUCAUCAAGGACCUCCUACAGGCAAAAUCCAAUAAACACUUUUCAGACUUCAUCUUGAGUUCUUUUUGAUUUUGGACACGGUUGAGAAUUCCCUCAUAGAACCAACCUCCCUUCCACAGUGAAGCUGAUAUCGAUGUUACUUGUUUCUCCUCCUGAAGAUCUCAUAUUUUCUCUCAGUCUCCUUCAUGGGCUCUUCUUCCGGGAGCUGCUUCUAGGUUCUAUCUGUCUUGAGCUCUCUUACUUCUCACGCCGCCCCCUCCUCCAACUGUUUUUGGAAAGGCUUCAAGAGUGAUCAGACGUAAAACCUGAAUCCCUUUAGAUGUCUCACAGCGCCUUCCUGGUGACUUUAUUCCCUGGGUCCUUGUGGGCAGUUCUCCUUUGAAUGACCAAAUGCAUGCAUGGGCCAGUGAAAAAGCAGGUCUUCUUCGAGAAAGUUAAAGGGCAGUUAAAGGUCAUUCCCACAAGGUUCGCUUUUCAGAGACCUUCAGGCUCUCUGGAGGAGCAUAGCAUUAGCUGCUCUCGGCUAGGCCUUGUCGAUGUCCUUCGUCUGUGACCUUGAAAUCUGUGUGGGAUGGGCUCGUGCCUUCAUUGCCACACUCCAUGAAAAUCUUCUUCCGCCCCAAUAUCUCUCAUACCCAGGGCUCGUUCCUUCUCUUUGUCAUCUGGGUGCAGGAAUCUGCCUCAGUGACUUCCACUGAAUCGACAGACCCCUGCUCUGAGCAUCUGUGAGUGUGGUGGACUUCACUAGAAACCGAGGAGGGGAUGGCACAGGUGUUCCUAAUGUACUAGGGCAGUAAGGUCAAUGCCAGUUUUAAGAGGCCCUCCAGGCACCCUGUCACAAGAAGGGGACUUUCCACUGGUGACUUUCCCAGGGACCCUCCACCCCCUUACCACCUCUCAGGCUCCUGGCCUCCUGUCCUCUGUCUGCUCUCACGCAGAGCCCUGGGGCCAGGCCCUGUUAUACUGGCUGCCUUCCUGGCGAUUGCCUCCCUAGGAUGCCUGCCUGUGGGGACACCGCUGAGGUUCCAGUUCCCUUGUUCCCAUGAGGAGGGCAUUGCAUGCUUUUAGCAUUUGAUGGGACAUUGUGGAGUGAGGGGAUCUUAAGAUUCCUUGACUUCUCAAGACCCAGCUUAGCUCAUCCUUAAGGAAGGAAGCCGCAGAAGCAGAGCGCCAGGCUUCUUGCAGGCCCUACAUUUCUGUGACUUUUCAUUUCAUCUGAGGUUGGCUUUGAGAACGCAAUCUCCUUUUCUUUUUUUAAAACAGUGGAUUUCAUCAUUUUUAUUGUUUUUUUGCUGCAAAGGCUGUUUUAGGUCAUCGCAGACUACUAAACCAGUUGUUUAGUGAUUUAUAAUGAUUUAGGAAGCUUUCUUCUACUGCCAAUAUCUUUUUAAAAAAUUGCAACAUAACUGAUUUACAAUGUUGAGUUGGUUUCUGCUGUACAGCAAGUGGUUACUUUUAAAUAUAUUGAAAUUUAUGUGGUACACCAGUAUAUGCUGAGGAUUUUUUAAAAAAAUUUUUACUCUAUUUUAAAGAGGAUGGGAGUAGUUUGACUGCCCUUGACUAUGACACUGGCCUAAGCUAGCAGGACAGAGAACCUACAAGGAGAGAGAGGCUGGGGAGAGGAGAGACAUGAGUGAACAGCUCUCCCUGGGCCCCUAUUCUCAGAUGCUCAUGUCCUGGGAGGGACAUCAGGUUUGACUGUCCAGCUCUUACAAAAGGUGAGCUUAACCCUGAUCUUUGAGGGAAAUCCAACAGUCUAGGGGAUGUAUUAACUUUGUUCUUUAUUUCUUUUGUCUUUUUGCCUUUUCUAGGGCCGCACCCACGGCAUAUGGAGGUUCCCAGGCUAGGGGUCGAAUCAGAGCUGCAGCUGCCAGCCUACCCCACAGCCACAUCAAUGCGGGAUCCAAGCCGUGUCUGCAACCUACACCACAGCUCACGGCAAUGCCGGAUCCUUAACCCACUGAGCAAGGCCAAGGAUCGAACCCGCAACCUCAUGAUUCCUAGUCGGAUUCGUUGACCACUGAGCCACGACGGGAACUCCUUAACUUUGUUCUUUAAAUUCCCUCCUGUAAGUUGGCUCAUCCACACACUUGGACCAUAUUAUCUUAGCUUCCUAUAGGAAGGUUCUUACUAUGCAUUGUCAGUUUGCUUUACCUUAUCCUUUUUGGAAGGAUCGCUGUUAGAAAGGUCCACUUGCAGAAUGUUUUUGUGUUGUUUACUUCUUUUAAAAUAUACAUUAUUUUAGAAUGUUUUUUGGUUUACAGAAAAACUGUGAAAGUAGUUUACAGUUUCUGUACCCCCUGCAUCCAGUUUGACCUACUGUUAACAUCUUACGUUGCAAUAGUACAUUUGUUACAAUUCAUGUACCAAUACUGUAGAGCAUUAUCAACUACAGCCCACUCUUUUCCCAUAAUUCCUUAGUUUUUACCUAAUGUCUUUCUUUCUAUUCUAAGAUCUUACCCAGAUGACCAUAUGCACUUAGCUGUCGUCUCUCCAUGUCUCCUUAGACUCUUUGCUAUGACAAUUUCUCAGAAGAAUCCUCCAGGCAUUCAAACAAUGUUUGUGCAUGUAUAUAUACAUUUAUAUCACCAAUAUGACCGCUGUUCAGCCUCAGAAGGAGAAUACUGGUGACAUGAUUGAAGCUCUGUGUGUUCCCUGCUCUAUCCCAGUCUCCUUGCUGCUCUAAAGACAGCCAGUAUCUUAAAUUUGGUAUUUCUGUCCCAUGCAUGCUUCGAAACAAUUAUAUAUAGUAUUACUUUGCAUAUUUUUAAAUUAAAUUUAUUUUUUACUGGGUAUAGUUGAUUUACAUCUUACGGUCUAUCCUGAGAGACUGGAUACCAUUCCCUGUGUUUUGUAGUAGGACCUCAUUGCUUAUCCAUUCUAAAUGUAUUAGUUUGCAUCUACUAACCCCAAAUUCCUAGGCAAUCCCACUCCCUCACCUUCCCCUAUGGCAACCACAAGUCUUCUCCAUGUCCAUGAGUCUGUUUCUCUUUUGUAGAUAGGUUCAUUUGUGCCAUAUUUCAGAUUCCACAUAUAAGUGAUAUCAUAAGGUAUUUGUCUUUCUCUUUCUGACUUACUUCACUCAGUAUGAGAGUCUCUAGUUAUAUCCACAUUGCCGCAAAUGGCAUGAUUUCAUUCUUUUUUAUGGCUGAGUAGUAUUCUGUUGUGUAUAUGUACCACAUCUUUGUGAUCUGUUCAUCUGUUAAUUUCAUUCUUUUUUAUGGCUGAGUAGUAUUCCAUUGUGUAUAUGUACCACAUCUUUGUGAUCUGUUCAUCUGUUGAUGGACAUUUAGGUUGUUUCCAUGUCUUGGCUAUUGUGAAUAGUGCUACAAAUGUUAUCCUGUAAACAUUGUUCUGCAGAAUUUCUUCUGUCAUACAUUGUUGAUCGAUGUUGCUCCAAUUUAUCUUAAUUUCUGAGUCAUAUUCUAUUGUAUUAAUCCACUCUCCUAUUGACAUUUUGGUUUUUUCAUUUUUGUUGUUGCCAUGGUCAUUGCAAACAAUGCUAGGCAGACAUGCACAUGUGUAUACAGCCUACCUUAGGGUUUGAGGGGGAGGAUUUCUGGAUGUGUGUCAGAGUUUUAUCUUUGACAAAACAGUUUAUCCAUUCAUUCAUUCAAUAAAUACAGAUUGAACACUUUUACAUGGGUCAGAAACUGGACAAGACUCUGACGGUAAAUAGAACAGAAAUAACCCCUCCCUCCUCAGGGGUUUACAGUAUUAUUUGGCAGGAGAAACAAAAUAAAGAAUUCAUUAAAGAUAAGCAUGAACUACAUAGAUGUAUUAUAAAAAUAUAGACCAAUAAUUAGUGUUGUAUGCCAUGAGAAAAAAGAUAAGGGUUAGUGAGAGAUGGUGAAUGUUAAUAUUUAUCUUGAUAUGGUAAUUUACCAUAGAAAUUCCCUGCAAGGAAAACACUACUCUCUUCCUAAAUUUAUGUACUUCCUUUCAUCUAAAAAUGGAAGCAAUGUAAAGCAAAAGAUUUCCCUUUUUGUCUUAGCUACCGAGAAUCUCACAUUUAAAUAUAAUGCCCAGCUGCAGUGCCAGGCACAUCCCAGUUACCUUUAGUUAUGUUUGUGUUUUGGCUUUUUAAAUAAAGGGUUUUCUUUUAUUUUGAAAAGCCUUGUUUCACAUUCUCAAUCUUUUUUUUUUUUUUUUUUUUUGUCUUUUUGUCUUUUUCUAGAGCCGCACCUGUGGCAUAUGGAGGUUCCCAGGCUAGGGGUCGAAUCAGAGCUAUAGCCGCUGGCCUAUGCCAGAGCCAUAGCAACUCGGGAUCCAAGCUGCAUCUGCGACCUACACCACAGCUCACGGCAACGCCAGAUCCUUAACCCACUGAGCAAGGCCAGGGAUCGAACCCGCAACCUCAUGGUUCCUAGUUGGAUUCGUUAACCACUGAGCCACGAUGGGAACUCCUACAUUCCCAAUCAUUUUGGAAGUAACUAAGGUAUAGAUCUUAGAGGGAAGGUAAGAUGCUGGUCAUCCCUAUUUCUACCUUUUCAUACAUAAACAAUCUUCCUUUUCGGGGGCUUUGCAGGGUGUGUGUAGAGGUCUUGCUGUACUAGCGUGCUUGUUUGAUUUCAAUAUGAAUUCUCCAAAUUAAUUGACUAUCCAUCAACAGGCAGUUUGUUCCCUAAAUACUUCACUUAGACCAUGCUUCUUCUGUUUAAUCACCACCAACACACACACAAACAGAACUCCUUAGCAAUUCCACUUGGCUCUACUGCUAUCUUUAGGAACAUUUGUCUUGUCUUAACUACUCUCCUUGUAGUUAAGACAUCUAGUUUUCUGUGACAUUGUUUACUUUCAUUAUGCCUUAAUUAUGGGAUUCUGAUAACCAUGGAGGAGUAGAGAGACAAUAAAUGGGGUUUUGUGGGUGAUUAAAUGCUAAAGCAAAGCUGAGAUGUUUGAUAACCACAACAGUUGUUUCUGCAAGUAUAUUCCAAAAACAGGAAUAUUAUGGUUAUUACACAACAAG
This 6105-nucleotide long non-coding RNA is filed under the name Sus scrofa (pig). RNAcentral describes it as "lncRNA (ENSSSCG00035003777.1)". Lineage: Eukaryota; Metazoa; Chordata; Mammalia; Artiodactyla; Suidae. The record is from RNAcentral.